Long non-coding RNA from Harpia harpyja (harpy eagle), 368 nucleotides. RefSeq lists it as uncharacterized. The transcript has 3 exons. The record is from RefSeq and is a predicted model, not a curated record. NCBI's taxonomy places the organism in Eukaryota, Metazoa, Chordata, Aves, Accipitriformes, Accipitridae.
UCAGGUGAGCCGGGGCCGGGGCCUGGCCCGGCCCGGCCUCCGGUGUGAGGGCCGGGAGCCCGUGAUCGAGGCCAGUGCCCUGCUCGGGGGGCUCCGCAGCCCGGUAAGCGUAAGUUUCUCAGUCUCUCCCAGCUGGCUAUGAGUUUUCAAAAAUCCUUGUCAGUGUUGUGGUAAGUGUGGCAGUGAAUUCCUUCUGAGCCCUAUGAUGUGGACACCUGAACCAACAGGUUCUGAAGUUCCAUACAAACUUUGAAGCCUAUUUCUGUGUAUACUGGCAUUGGCAACUGAAGUGCAUUGUUCGUCGGUGAAAGAGAACCUUUGCAGGAGGAACCAUAGCAGCUGCUUUGAGUAUAGAAGACCACCUUCCU